This 253-nucleotide ribosomal RNA is filed under the name uncultured bacterium. RNAcentral's name for it is "partial 16S ribosomal RNA". It matches the Rfam family "Bacterial small subunit ribosomal RNA", at positions 524 to 776 of the family's 1533-position model. The record is from RNAcentral.
UACGAACCGUGCAAACGUUGUUCGGAAUCACUGGGCUUAAAGGGCGCGUAGGCGGCGCAUCAAGUCGGGGGUGAAAUCUUUCGGCUCAACCGGAAAAGUGCCUUCGAUACUGGUGCGCUCGAGGAAGGUAGGGGCCACGGGAACGACCAGUGGAGCGGUGAAAUGCGUUGAGAUUGGUAGGAACGCCGGUGGCGAAAGCGCGUGGCUGGACCUUCCCUGACGCUGAGGCGCGAAAGCUAGGGGAGCAAACGGG